Molecule: ribosomal RNA, 348 nt
Filed under: uncultured bacterium
Lineage: Bacteria
Description: bacterial SSU rRNA
Rfam family: Bacterial small subunit ribosomal RNA
Source: RNAcentral
AUUGAACGCUGGCGGCAGGCCUAACACAUGCAAGUCGAGCGGAUGAGUGGAGCUUGCUCCAUGAUUCAGCGGCGGACGGGUGAGUAAUGCCUAGGAAUCUGCCUGGUAGUGGGGGACAACGUUUCGAAAGGAACGCUAAUACCGCAUACGUCCUACGGGAGAAAGCAGGGGACCUUCGGGCCUUGCGCUAUCAGAUGAGCCUAGGUCGGAUUAGCUAGUAGGUGAGGUAAUGGCUCACCUAGGCGACGAUCCGUAACUGGUCUGAGAGGAUGAUCAGUCACACUGGAACUGAGACACGGUCCAGACUCCUACGGGAGGCAGCAGUGGGGGAAUAUUGGACAAUGGGCG